This 71-nucleotide transfer RNA is filed under the name Urocitellus parryii (Arctic ground squirrel). RNAcentral describes it as "Spermophilus parryii (Arctic ground squirrel) tRNA". It matches the Rfam family "tRNA". Rfam says of the family: Transfer RNA (tRNA) molecules are approximately 80 nucleotides in length. RNAcentral also lists the same sequence under 1 other name. Lineage: Eukaryota; Metazoa; Chordata; Mammalia; Rodentia; Sciuridae. The record is from Rfam by way of RNAcentral.
UGGGGUGUAGCUCAGUGUAGAGCACUUGCCUAGCAUGUGUGAGGCACUGGGUUCAAUUCUCAGCACUGCAU